Molecule: ribosomal RNA, 309 nt
Filed under: uncultured eukaryote
Lineage: Eukaryota
Description: partial 18S ribosomal RNA
Rfam family: Eukaryotic small subunit ribosomal RNA
Source: RNAcentral
CCCUUAGAUGUUCUGGGCGGCCCGCGCACUACAAUGGCGUGUGCAGCGAGUGCCGACGUAGAGUUUUCCGAGGUAUUCUUGCAAUGCUCGUUUUGAUGGGGAUAGACCCUUGCAACUGUUGGUUUUGAACGAGGAAUUCCUUGUAAGCAUGGUUUAUCAUCCGACGCUGAAUGCGUCCCUGCCCUUUGUACACACCGCCCGUCGCUCCUACCGAUGAGUCGUCCGGUGAAGUUCGUAGACCUCGUGAUCGCGGAUCACUGGGGGAAGCAAAAUGAACCUCGCGGUUUAGAGGAAGGAGAAGUCGUAACA